This is a long non-coding RNA of Astatotilapia calliptera (eastern happy), 1776 nucleotides long. Lineage: Eukaryota; Metazoa; Chordata; Actinopteri; Cichliformes; Cichlidae. The record is from Ensembl.
GUGAUAGACUGCAAGCAAGCAAGCAAGCAAUUUAUUUAUAUAGCACUUUCAGAUCAGCCCCCAGCACAAAGUGCUGUACACUUGACAUGCCAGAAAUGAUACAUUGAACAAGUUAAAAAAAAUAAAUAAAUAAUAUAAAAUAAAGAAAAAAUAUUUUAAAAAAUAAGAUGAUAAUUAAAAUGACAUUUAAAAUAAUAAAAUUGGCACAAAUAGCAAAAACAAUAAUAAAAUAGUAUAAAAUGAUCAUUAGAAUUACAUUUAAAACAAUAAAGUCAGCACAUUAGAUUAAAACAAUAAAAUCAGGUUCAGACUAUGUCAUAAGCCAAGGAGUAAAAAUGGGUUUUAAUGAUCUGUCCAAGGGGUACACUGGCUCUCACCCUAUGACAGCCUAUCAUAUGGGGAUAGGCUCCACCCUUACUGUGACCCUGAAUUCGAUAAGUGGAAGAAAAUGAAAAGAUGGGUAAUUCUUAAAAAAGAUCUUCCAGAGAGGGUAGAUUGCAAUUCUUUUGUUAGAGAACACAUGAGCUCAUUUCCUGGUUGCUGAGCGUCCUAAGUAAGCUUUGGCAGCAGCUCAUGUAGCCCAUCUUUGCCUUCCACCCACUUAACCUAAUAUCAUCAUGCAUUAUGUAGCCAACCGCUCUGAUGGUGCCUCGUGUUGGAGUGUGUAAGGCAGAAGGAAAGGUCCACAGUGUAAUGUCUCUCAUAAACAUGGCCCAUCCAUCUUGUUGGAUUAGAGGCUGUCACUAUUUUCUUCCACUUGAUGUGUGUGAAUGUGUAGGACUACUUCACUCAGCACCUUUGAUGUUCAGUGAAAGCCCAGAGGGAAAAUCGUCUUUCCAAAAGCUUCUAAUGGUCUCAGUUGUAGCAGUAUGCUAUUGUCAGGUGUGGUCCUUUUGUUGAUCCCAGUUUGAUGCCGCUUGUUCAUUUGUGACUCGCCGUUUGAACUUCACAGGCUUUUAAAUUAACAAAGCAUCCCAGAUCAAAAACGCAGGCCUGCAGCAGGAGCAGUGGCAGCGGCGAGGACCGUCUCCUUCCCCCUCAUCUUACGCGCCGUGUCACUCAAUCUGUAUCAGCGCCUGAGUUCCGUUUGGUGUGUCAGCAUGUGUGUCUCUGUGUGUGGGGGAGCUUUGUUUUGUGUGUGCAGCUGUCCUUACUGUGAGGUGUUUGGGGAGAUGGGUGAGUGAAGACCACAGCAAAGAAGCAGAUUUAAAAACAAGACAGUGUGUGCAUAAAAGCCUUUCAAAUUCUCAGUCUAUCCUAAUUCUGUUAAGGAUUUUUUUUUUUUUUUAACCGCUGAGCCACACCCUUGUGUAACAACAUUAUGAUCAUCUGAAAUGGAUGAGCAGGAUGUGUGGGGAUAACAGCUUUUUUUCAGUCCUGUGAAAUAAUGAUGGAUUCCAUUAGUUUUCAGUUCAUGCAACUAAAAGAUGGAGACUAAAAAUCGUUUCGGUUUUUAGGUUUCAGUUUGCAUAAAAAAAACAGGAAGUGAAUAAAUCUCCUUAACGCUUUCCUCCAUAAACACAACAUUGAACGACCUCUCCCGUGGCAAGUUUUGACACCUCAGUACAGAUCAGUAAAGAUUUGGUUUGAUGACCAUUAAAAUAGUUUCCAAGGGCAGCUGCACAGAGAGAGAUCACCUUUCCUAACCUCUGAUGCAUACCCAGUCGUUUUGUGUCAUAAUGAGGCAGAAAUUAUGACAGAAAGCACUCAGUUUAGAAAAGAGCUUCAAGGGUUACUUCUAGUAGGCUUUCAGAGGAGGCAACGAGUUAAAAUAAG